UGGGGAAUCUUCCGCAAUGGACGAAAGUCUGACGGAGCAACGCCGCGUGAGUGAUGACGGCCUUCGGGUUGUAAAGCUCUGUUAAUCGGGACGAAUGGUUCUUGUGCGAAUAGUGCGAGGAUUUGACGGUACCGGAAUAGAAAGCCACGGCUAACUACGUGCCAGCAGCCGCGGUAAUACGUAGGUGGCAAGCGUUGUCCGGAAUUAUUGGGCGUAAAGCGCGCGCAGGCGGAUUGGUCAGUCUGUCUUAAAAGUUCGGGGCUUAACCCCGUGAUGGGAUGGAAACUGCCAAUCUAGAGUAUCGGAGAGGAAAGUGGAAUUCCUAGUGUAGCGGUGAAAUGCGUAGAUAUUAGGAGGAACACCAGUGGCGAAGGCGACUUUCUGGACGAAAACUGACGCUGAGGCGCGAAAGCCAGGGGAGCGAACGGG
RNAcentral lists this ribosomal RNA (429 nucleotides) under bacterium. RNAcentral's name for it is "partial 16S ribosomal RNA". It matches the Rfam family "Bacterial small subunit ribosomal RNA", at positions 355 to 776 of the family's 1533-position model. The record is from RNAcentral.